Dallia pectoralis (Alaska blackfish) is the source of this 74-nucleotide non-coding RNA. NCBI's taxonomy places the organism in Eukaryota, Metazoa, Chordata, Actinopteri, Esociformes, Umbridae. The record is from the annotation of a GenBank genome assembly.
CCGUUGGUAGCUCAGUUGGUAGGGUGCAUGCUUUGUGUGUACGACGUCCUGGAAUCAAAUCCGUUGCAAAUGGU